CGCGAGGUAGAGCAGUCUGGCAAGCUCGUCGGGUUCAUACCCCGAAGGUCGCAGGUUCAAAUCCUGCCUUCGCUA
Molecule: transfer RNA, 75 nt
Filed under: Lachnospiraceae bacterium
Lineage: Bacteria; Bacillati; Bacillota; Clostridia; Lachnospirales; Lachnospiraceae
Also listed under: 2 other names
Description: tRNA-Met
Rfam family: tRNA
About the family: Transfer RNA (tRNA) molecules are approximately 80 nucleotides in length.
Source: RNAcentral